AGUGAACGCUGGCGGUAGGCCUAACACAUGCAAGUCGAACGGCAGCACAGUAAGAGCUUGCUCUUACGGGUGGCGAGUGGCGGACGGGUGAGGAAUACAUCGGAAUCUACUUUUUCGUGGGGGAUAACGUAGGGAAACUUACGCUAAUACCGCAUACGACCUACGGGUGAAAGCAGGGGAUCUUCGGACCUUGCGCGAUUGAAUGAGCCGAUGUCGGAUUAGCUAGUUGGCGGGGUAAAUGCCCACCAAGGCGACGAUCCGUAGCUGGUCUGAGAGGAUGAUCAGCCACACUGGAACUGAGACACGGUCCAGACUCCUACGGGAGGCAGCAGUGGGGAAUAUUGGACAAUGGGCGCAAGCCUGAUCCAGCCAUACCGCGUGGGUGAAGAAGGCCUUCGGGUUGUAAAGCCCUUUUGUUGGGAAAGAAAAGCAGCAGGUUAAUACCCCGCUGUUCUGACGGUACCCAAAGAAUAAGCACCGGCUAACUUCGU
Molecule: ribosomal RNA, 491 nt
Filed under: uncultured bacterium
Lineage: Bacteria
Description: partial 16S ribosomal RNA
Rfam family: Bacterial small subunit ribosomal RNA
Source: RNAcentral